GAUGGAGCUCUUGAUGCCUCUUUGAAUCUGCUCAAUCCCUUUCUUUGAUUCUUGAAUGAAGCUCUUGAUGAAGAAGAUUAGGGCACUUUUGUUUUCUUGUGUACUCUUUGAUAUUUCUUUCAAAAAUUGUUCUAUCUGAUGAAUAGUGCCCCUUUAAAUAGCUUCCCACAUCCUUUGGACAAGCCCCAAUGGUUAGAUUUGAAAAACUAGCCGUUAUUGACCUUGGGAAGGACAAAAAGUACAUCUGCAGAACUAGCCGUUAUGCUUCAGCCCGUGUUUGGGUCGGCUCAACCUGUCCUUGGGUCGACCCAACAUUCACUUGGGUCGACUCAAAUAUUCCUUGGGUCGACCCUCUCAGAAAACACAGAAA
This 370-nucleotide long non-coding RNA is filed under the name Phoenix dactylifera (date palm). Its description in RNAcentral is "long non-coding RNA (PDAC_LNC022973)". The record is from RNAcentral. Lineage: Eukaryota; Viridiplantae; Streptophyta; Magnoliopsida; Arecales; Arecaceae.